GACGAACGCUGGCGGCGUGCUUAACACAUGCAAGUCGAACGGAAAGGCCCUGCUUGCAGGGUACUCGAGUGGCGAACGGGUGAGUAACACGUGGGUGAUCUGCCCUGCACUUCGGGAUAAGCCUGGGAAACUGGGUCUAAUACCGGAUAGGAGCCAUUUUUAGUGUGAUGGUUGGAAAGUUUUUUCGGUGUAGGAUGAGCUCGCGGCCUAUCUGCUUGUUGGUGGGGUAAUGGCCUACCAAGGCGGCGACGGGUAGCCGGCCUGAGAGGGUGGACGGCCACAUUGGGACUGAGAUACGGCCCAGACUCCUACGGGAGGCAGCAGUGGGGAAUAUUGCACAAUGGGCGCCAGCCUGAUGCAGCGACGCCGCGUGGGGGAUGACGGCCUUCGGGUUGUAAACUCCUUUCGCUAGGGACGAAGCUUUUUGUGACGGUACCUAGAUAAGAAGCACCGGCUAACUACGUG
Molecule: ribosomal RNA, 465 nt
Filed under: uncultured bacterium
Lineage: Bacteria
Description: partial 16S ribosomal RNA
Rfam family: Bacterial small subunit ribosomal RNA
Source: RNAcentral